Molecule: ribosomal RNA, 374 nt
Filed under: uncultured eukaryote
Lineage: Eukaryota
Description: partial 18S ribosomal RNA
Rfam family: Eukaryotic small subunit ribosomal RNA
Source: RNAcentral
CAAUAGCGUAUAUUAAAGUUGUUGCAGUUAAAAAGCUCGUAGUCGGAUGUCGGGCUCGGGCAGGCUGUCGGCUUCGGUCGGACGGCAGGCUCGGGUCUUUCUGCCUGAGGAUCCCGUUGCACUUAAUUGUGGGGCGUGGGGACGCAGGCCGUUUACUUUGAAAAAAUUAGAGUGUUCAAAGCAGGCCUACGCUUGAAUACAUUAGCAUGGAAUAAUGGAAUAGGACUUUGGUGCUAUUUUGUUGGUUUAUGGGACCGAAGUAAUGAUUAACAGGGACAGUUGGGGCCGUUUAUAUUUCGUUGUCAGAGGUGAAAUUCUUGGAUUUGUUGAAGACGAUCUACUGCGAAAGCAUUUGCCAGGGAUGUUUUCAUUGA